UUCCAGACUCCUACGGGAGGCAGCAGUGGGGGAUAUUGCACAAUGGGGGGAACCCUGAUGCAGCGACGCCGCGUGGGUGAAGAAGCGCCUCGGCGCGUAAAGCCCUGUCAGCAGGGAAGAAAAUGACGGUACCUGAAGAAGAAGCCCCGGCUAACUACGUGCCAGCAGCCGCGGUAAUACGUAGGGGGCAAGCGUUAUCCGGAUUUACUGGGUGUAAAGGGGGCGCAGACGGCGAUGCAAGCCAGGAGUGAAAGCCCGGGGCCCAACCCCGGAACUGCUUUGGAAACUGUGCAGCUCGAGUGCAGGAGAGGUAAGCGGAAUUCCUAGUGUAGCGGUGAAAUGCGUAGAUAUUAGGAGGAACACCAGUGGCGAAGGCGGCUUACUGGACUGUAACUGACGUUGAGGCUCGAAAGCGUGGGGAGCAAACAGGAUUAGAUACCCUGGUACCG
This 449-nucleotide ribosomal RNA is filed under the name uncultured bacterium. Its description in RNAcentral is "bacterial SSU rRNA". It matches the Rfam family "Bacterial small subunit ribosomal RNA", at positions 329 to 793 of the family's 1533-position model. The record is from RNAcentral.